CUUGCACUAUCAAACUCGGAGAAAAGUCUGUAGGUGGCCAAAGUUUGUGUUCUUCGGUGGCGGAGACAAGAGUGAGAGAAGCUUCUGGAACUCAUUGCCACAGGAUAUCUUUGCAGCCAAGAGUUCAGCAGGAUUUUAAAAAAGGAUUUAUAUGGAUAAGAAUAGCCACAGUCAUAUUAUCGAACAUAAAAUCAUUGUAUUUUGGAAGGACUAUUUAACACCCUGAAUCAGGAGAGUUUCACAACUAUCUGAUGGAGCCAAUUGGAAACUACUUAUCCACUUCAUCUGUUUCCUCCAAACUGGGACCAAUCGGCACUGCCUGACAUAGGGUACAAG
This is a long non-coding RNA of Terrapene triunguis (Three-toed box turtle), 336 nucleotides long. RefSeq lists it as uncharacterized. The record is from RefSeq and is a predicted model, not a curated record. NCBI's taxonomy places the organism in Eukaryota, Metazoa, Chordata, Testudines, Emydidae. The transcript is spliced from 3 exons.